CUUAAAUCUAAUAUUUCUAAUACUUUAAGAGAAAGUUACACAAUUAUAUUUUCUAGGCAGACAUUUAUGCUGAAAUAGGCGAGGUAAUUUUGGGCUUAAAAGAGCCGUAUGUGCACAAAACAACUGUUUUCAAAUCAUUAGGCAUGGCUGUUGAAGAUGUUGUUACUGCAGAACUUGUUUACCAGAUCUUACAGAAAAGGAAUUUCUGAAAUUUUUGCUUUUUUUGAAGCUAAUAAAUUCUGUGGAAUAAUAUCAUCUGUUAAUCUAUAUUA
Long non-coding RNA from Stegodyphus dumicola, 272 nucleotides. The record is from RefSeq and is a predicted model, not a curated record. NCBI's taxonomy places the organism in Eukaryota, Metazoa, Arthropoda, Arachnida, Araneae, Eresidae.